This 182-nucleotide non-coding RNA is filed under the name Papillibacter cinnamivorans. Lineage: Bacteria; Bacillati; Bacillota; Clostridia; Eubacteriales; Oscillospiraceae. RNAcentral also lists the same sequence under 1 other name. The record is from RNAcentral.
ACUAAAUAUCGCUCGUCAGGUGCGGAUUUUACGAUCCGUGAAAAGGGAAACGGGUGAAACGCCCGUGCGGUCCCGCCGCUGUAUGGGACGAGCUGCGCAGCAUCAUGCCGCCGGUAUACCGGGAAGGCGCUGCGCCGCGACGACUCCCGAGCCAGAAGACCUGCCUGACGGCAAACACCGCA